Molecule: ribosomal RNA, 253 nt
Filed under: uncultured bacterium
Lineage: Bacteria
Description: partial 16S ribosomal RNA
Rfam family: Bacterial small subunit ribosomal RNA
Source: RNAcentral
UACGUAGGGGGCAAGCGUUGUCCGGAUUUAUUGGGCGUAAAGAGCGUGUAGGCGGCUUUACAGGUCCGUUGUGAAAACUCGAGGCUCAACCUCGAGACGCCGGUGGAAACCGUAAAGCUAGAGUCCGGAAGAGGAGAGUGGAAUUCCUGGUGUAGCGGUGAAAUGCGCAGAUAUCAGGAAGAACACCAGUGGCGAAGGCGGCUCUCUGGGACGGUACUGACGCUGAGACGCGAAAGCGUGGGGAGCGAACAGG